This 460-nucleotide ribosomal RNA is filed under the name uncultured bacterium. Its description in RNAcentral is "partial 16S ribosomal RNA". It matches the Rfam family "Bacterial small subunit ribosomal RNA", at positions 338 to 795 of the family's 1533-position model. The record is from RNAcentral.
CCUACGGGAGGCAGCAGUGAGGAAUAUUGGUCAAUGGACGAGAGUCUGAACCAGCCAAGUAGCGUGAAGGAUGACUGCCCUAUGGGUUGUAAACUUCUUUUAUAUGGGAAUAAAACGUUCCACGUGUGGGAUUUUGUAUGUACCAUAUGAAUAAGGAUCGGCUAACUCCGUGCCAGCAGCCGCGGUAAUACGGAGGAUCCGAGCGUUAUCCGGAUUUAUUGGGUUUAAAGGGAGCGUAGGUGGAGUGUUAAGUCAGUUGUGAAAGUUUGCGGCUCAACCGUAAAAUUGCAGUUGAAACUGGCAGUCUUGAGUACAGUAGGGGUGGGCGGAAUUCGUGGUGUAGCGGUGAAAUGCUUAGAUAUCACGAAGAACUCCGAUUGCGAAGGCAGUUCACUGGACUGCAACUGACACUGAGGCUCGAAAGUGUGGGUAUCAAACAGGAUUAGAUACCCGGGUAGUC